GGCCUGACCACUCAUUCACUGAGCAGCGGAUUUCUACUCCGCAGGUUGCAGGUUCGAAUCCUGCCGGGAUCGCCA
Molecule: transfer RNA, 75 nt
Filed under: Bradyrhizobium uaiense
Lineage: Bacteria; Pseudomonadati; Pseudomonadota; Alphaproteobacteria; Hyphomicrobiales; Nitrobacteraceae
Description: tRNA-Arg
Rfam family: tRNA
About the family: Transfer RNA (tRNA) molecules are approximately 80 nucleotides in length. Their secondary structure includes four short double-helical elements and three loops (D, anti-codon, and T loops). Further hydrogen bonds mediate the characteristic L-shaped molecular structure. tRNAs have two regions of fundamental functional importance: the anti-codon, which is responsible for specific mRNA codon recognition, and the 3' end, to which the tRNAs corresponding amino acid is attached (by aminoacyl-tRNA synthetases). tRNAs cope with the degeneracy of the genetic code in two manners: having more than one tRNA (with a specific anti-codon) for a particular amino acid; and 'wobble' base-pairing, i.e. permitting non-standard base-pairing at the 3rd anti-codon position.
Source: RNAcentral